GGGCCAGUGGCGCAAUGGUUAGCGCAAUCGGCUUAUAUCCGAUCGGUUCCUGGUUCAAGUCCAGGCUGGCCCA
RNAcentral lists this transfer RNA (73 nucleotides) under Candidatus Woesebacteria bacterium. Its description in RNAcentral is "tRNA-Ile". It matches the Rfam family "tRNA". Rfam says of the family: Transfer RNA (tRNA) molecules are approximately 80 nucleotides in length. Their secondary structure includes four short double-helical elements and three loops (D, anti-codon, and T loops). Lineage: Bacteria; Candidatus Woeseibacteriota. The record is from RNAcentral.